RNAcentral lists this transfer RNA (66 nucleotides) under Menida musiva. Its description in RNAcentral is "tRNA-Leu". Lineage: Eukaryota; Metazoa; Arthropoda; Insecta; Hemiptera; Pentatomidae. The record is from RNAcentral.
ACUAUUUUGGCAGAUUAGUGCGGUAAAUUUAGAAUUUAUUUAUGUAAUAUUAUAUUACAGAUAGUA